This 202-nucleotide long non-coding RNA is filed under the name Trifolium pratense (red clover). RNAcentral describes it as "long non-coding RNA (TPRA_LNC011721)". The record is from RNAcentral. Lineage: Eukaryota; Viridiplantae; Streptophyta; Magnoliopsida; Fabales; Fabaceae.
CGACUUGGUUUGAAGAAUUAUGCAACUAUUCUUUCUUUCUUCUUGUUUAUUAUUUUACAACCUAUUUUUCACAGCGUAAUCUUUCUGUAAAUGUAUCAUGUGGUGUUGGCAGAGCAAGUUUUACAUGGGUUUGGUGUAUUACAAAAGUCUUCAUCUUUCACAAUCACACCACACCUUUUCAAUUCGCCGUCUGAAAUGUAGA